UACGUAGGGUGCGAGCGUUGUCCGGAAUUACUGGGCGUAAAGAGUUCGUAGGCGGUUUGUCGCGUCGUUCGUGAAAACUUGGGGCUUAACUCCAAGCGUGCGGGCGAUACGGGCAGACUUGAGUACUACAGGGGAGACUGGAACUCCUGGUGUAGCGGUGAAAUGCGCAGAUAUCAGGAGGAACACCGGUGGCGAAGGCGGGUCUCUGGGUAGUAACUGACGCUGAGGAACGAAAGCGUGGGUAGCGAACAGG
Molecule: ribosomal RNA, 253 nt
Filed under: uncultured bacterium
Lineage: Bacteria
Description: partial 16S ribosomal RNA
Rfam family: Bacterial small subunit ribosomal RNA
Source: RNAcentral